Molecule: transfer RNA, 86 nt
Filed under: Cognatiluteimonas sedimenti
Lineage: Bacteria; Pseudomonadati; Pseudomonadota; Gammaproteobacteria; Lysobacterales; Lysobacteraceae
Description: Lysobacter sedimenti tRNA-Leu
Rfam family: tRNA
About the family: Transfer RNA (tRNA) molecules are approximately 80 nucleotides in length.
Source: RNAcentral
GCCGGAGUGGCGGAACGGUAGACGCAGCGGACUCAAAAUCCGCCGAGCUAACACUCGUGGGGGUUCGAGUCCCCCCUCCGGUACCA